AUACGAAGGGGGCUAGCGUUGUUCGGAAUUACUGGGCGUAAAGCGCGCGUAGGCGGACUGAUCAGUUGGGGGUGAAAUCCCAGGGCUUAACCCUGGAACUGCCUCCAAUACUGUCAGUCUUGAGUUCGGGAGAGGUGAGUGGAAUUCCUAGUGUAGAGGUGAAAUUCGUAGAUAUUAGGAGGAACACCAGUGGCGAAGGCGGCUUACUGGCUCGAUACUGACGCUGAGGCGCGAAAGCGUGGGGAGCAAACAGGAUUAGAUACCCCUGUAGUCC
Molecule: ribosomal RNA, 274 nt
Filed under: uncultured bacterium
Lineage: Bacteria
Description: partial 16S ribosomal RNA
Rfam family: Bacterial small subunit ribosomal RNA
Source: RNAcentral